This 500-nucleotide ribosomal RNA is filed under the name uncultured bacterium. RNAcentral's name for it is "partial 16S ribosomal RNA". It matches the Rfam family "Bacterial small subunit ribosomal RNA", at positions 30 to 523 of the family's 1533-position model. The record is from RNAcentral.
AUUGAACGCUGGCGGCAUGCCUUACACAUGCAAGUCGAACGGCAGCACGGGAGCAAUCCUGGUGGCGAGUGGCGAACGGGUGAGUAAAGCAUCGGAACGUGCCCAGUCGUGGGGGAUAACGUAGCGAAAGUUACGCUAAUACCGCAUACGAUCUUUGGGUGAAAGCGGGGGAUCGCAAGACCUCGCGCGAUUGGAGCGGCCGAUAUCGGAUUAGGUAGUUGGUGGGGUAAAGGCUCACCAAGCCGACGAUCUGUAGCUGGUCUGAGAGGACGACCAGCCACACUGGGACUGAGACACGGCCCAGACUCCUACGGGAGGUAGCAGUGGGGAAUUUUGGACAAUGGGCGCAAGCCUGAUCCAGCAAUGCCGCGUGCAGGACGAAGGCCUUCGGGUUGUAAACUGCUUUUGUACGGAGCGAAACGAUCUUCUCUAAUACAGAGGGUUAAUGACGGUACCGUAAGAAUAAGCACCGGCUAACUACGUGCCAGCCGCCGCCGUAA